AGAGUUUGAUCCUGGCUCAGGAUGAACGCUAGCGGCAGGCCUAAUACAUGCAAGACGAACGGUAACUUUGGUAGCAAUAUUGAAGCAAGAGUGUCGUAAGGGUGCGUAACACGUAUGCAAUCUGCCCUCAACAGGAGGAUAGCUCCCCGAAAGGGGAAUUAACACUCCAUAAGAUCAUGGGAUGGCAUCAUUCAGUGAUUAAAACUACGGUGGUUGAGGAUGAGCAUGCGCAUGAUUAGUUAGUUGGCGGGGUAAUGGCCCACCAAGACGAUGAUCAUUAGGGGAACUGAGAGGUUGAUCCCCCACACUGGCACUGAGAUACGGGCCAGACUCCUACGGGAGGCAGCAGUAGGGAAUAUUGGACAAUGGGUGCGAGCCUGAUCCAGCCAUGCCGCGUGCAGGAAGACGGCCUUCUGGGUUGUAAACUGCUUUUGCCAGGGGAUAAAAAGAGCGUGCGCGCUUUAUUGAAGGUACCUGGUGAAUAAGCCACGGCUAACUACGUGCCAGCAGCCGCGGUAAUACGUAGGUGGCAAGCGUUGUCCGGAUUUAUUGGGUUUAAAGGGUGCGUAGGCGGUCAUAUAAGUCAGUGGUGAAAUACUUCAGCUCAACUGGAGAGGUGCCAUUGAUACUGUAUGACUUGAGUACAGACGAGGUAGGCGGAAUUGACGGUGUAGCGGUGAAAUGCUUAGAUAUCGUCAAGAACACCGAUAGCGAAGGCAGCUUACUAGACUGUAACUGACGCUGAUGCACGAAAGUGUGGGGAUCAAACAGGAUUAGAUACCCUGGUAGUCC
This 792-nucleotide ribosomal RNA is filed under the name uncultured bacterium. RNAcentral describes it as "bacterial SSU rRNA". It matches the Rfam family "Bacterial small subunit ribosomal RNA", at positions 8 to 796 of the family's 1533-position model. The record is from RNAcentral.